GGCAGCUGUGUAAAUCACAUGUGCCAGAGGCAUAACUAGCACCUGGCACAAUAUUGCAGAUUUCACUUUAUGUACAGUGUUUCAAGCUGAAAAGCUUCUAAUAGCAGAAGUGGUCAUAGACAUUGGCCUUUAACUGUGUCGGUAACAAUCAAUUGAAUGAACAAUUCGUACACCAAGUAAGUACAAAAAUUAUUUAAUAAGCCAACUUUAUUGAGGUCUCAGGUUAAAAUCCAACAUACAUAUGUGACAAUUCACAAGAACUCAAUUAUACUAGAAACCACCCACUAAGGGUUAUAACCAAUUCUCCAAACUGUAUUAACCCUUUACAGACACCCAUAAAGAUGUAACAUAAAAUCCCCAGUAUGCCAGCAUGCAAUAAUAAACAUAGUUAAAUACACCUUUGUAUUUUGCAUGGUACUAACUAAAUACACCUUUGUAUUUUGCAUGGUACUAACAGUACAGUAAAUAAAAAGUCACAAUUAAAGUGGUUAGAUGCAUACGUCUUCUGACCACCUCAUCAGUAUGUGCCUUUGGGCAAGACACCUAAUAUACAUCACCUACUUCAAAUCUUCAUAGAUUGUAAGCUUGCUUGAGCAGAGCCUUCUUCACCUCUAAAUAUCCCUUUUCUAUAAUUAUAAAUAAAUAGCGGCAGAAUAUGUUGACACUUUAAUGGAAACAAUAAAAACAACAUACCUAUGUGGUUUAAAGAAAUCAGAUCGCCUCCUGUUUUAUAUUUUGUCUUAACUUUACCAGGAAUAAAAAAAAUAUAUACCAAAGGCACACACACGUG
This is a non-coding RNA of Pelobates cultripes (western spadefoot toad), 790 nucleotides long. Lineage: Eukaryota; Metazoa; Chordata; Amphibia; Anura; Pelobatidae. The record is from the annotation of a GenBank genome assembly.